AUCGGAACGACAAAAUUAUUUCAGUAGCAACAAUGUAUGGACCCCUCUCCUUUUCUGAUGUAGGCAGCCAGUUAAGAGGCUUCACAGUGUUCAGUUUAGUGCCAGCUCUCGAGGUAUCAAGAUGACGAAUCCUGUUGACAACUUGGCGACUGAGAUAGAGGCGUUAACCCGGAUCGUCAACCAGGACGAAAUGAUGGAUGAAAGUACAACGCGUCAACUUGGUGUUGCCUCGGACAGCGCGGAGAUCCCAAAAACUCCGAAUCCUACCCCGAACGAGAAUUAGAAGAGAAAAAAAAAUUGGCGAUGGUGGGAUAAA
Molecule: long non-coding RNA, 316 nt
Organism: Neodiprion virginianus
Lineage: Eukaryota; Metazoa; Arthropoda; Insecta; Hymenoptera; Diprionidae
Exons: 4
Source: RefSeq, a predicted model, not a curated record